RNAcentral lists this ribosomal RNA (449 nucleotides) under uncultured bacterium. RNAcentral describes it as "partial 16S ribosomal RNA". It matches the Rfam family "Bacterial small subunit ribosomal RNA", at positions 29 to 523 of the family's 1533-position model. The record is from RNAcentral.
AACGAACGCUGGCGGCAUGCCUAACACAUGCAAGUCGAACGAGACCUUCGGGUCUAGUGGCGCACGGGUGCGUAACGCGUGGGAAUCUGCCCUUGGGUCUGGAAUAACAGUUAGAAAUGACUGCUAAUACCGGAUGAUGACUUCGGUCCAAAGAUUUAUCGCCCAGGGAUGAGCCCGCGUCGGAUUAGCUAGUUGGUGAGGUAAAGGCUCACCAAGGCGACGAUCCGUAGCUGGUCUGAGAGGAUGAUCAGCCACACUGGGACUGAGACACGGCCCAGACUCCUACGGGAGGCAGCAGUGGGGAAUAUUGGACAAUGGGCGAAAGCCUGAUCCAGCAAUGCCGCGUGAGUGAUGAAGGCCUUAGGGUUGUAAAGCUCUUUUACCCGGGAUGAUAAUGACAGUACCGGGAGAAUAAGCCCCGGCUAACUCCGUGCCAGCCGCCGCCGUAA